This 99-nucleotide ribosomal RNA is filed under the name Diplasiolejeunea replicata. RNAcentral's name for it is "partial 26S ribosomal RNA". It matches the Rfam family "Eukaryotic large subunit ribosomal RNA", at positions 1 to 98 of the family's 3401-position model. The record is from RNAcentral. Lineage: Eukaryota; Viridiplantae; Streptophyta; Jungermanniopsida; Porellales; Lejeuneaceae.
CGGACCUCAGAUCAGGCAAGACCACCCGCUGAGUUUAAGCAUAUCACUAAGCGGAGGAAAAGAAACUAACAAGGAUUUCCGNAGUAACGGCGAGCGAAC